RNAcentral lists this ribosomal RNA (253 nucleotides) under uncultured bacterium. RNAcentral's name for it is "partial 16S ribosomal RNA". It matches the Rfam family "Bacterial small subunit ribosomal RNA", at positions 524 to 776 of the family's 1533-position model. The record is from RNAcentral.
UACGUAGGGACCAAGCGUUGUUCGGAUUUACUGGGCGUAAAGGGCGCGUAGGCGGCAAUUCAAGUCAGCUGUGAAAUCUCUGGGCUUAACCCAGAACGGCCAGCUGAUACUGCUUUGCUAGAGUGCAGAAGGGGCAAUCGGAAUUCUUGGUGUAGCGGUGAAAUGCGUAGAUAUUGGGAAGAACACCGGUGGCGAAGGCGGCGACCUGGUCCGAUACUGACGCUGAGGCGCGAAAGCGUGGGGAGCAAACAGG